This 774-nucleotide ribosomal RNA is filed under the name uncultured Neocallimastigales. RNAcentral describes it as "partial large subunit ribosomal RNA". It matches the Rfam family "Eukaryotic large subunit ribosomal RNA", at positions 24 to 642 of the family's 3401-position model. Lineage: Eukaryota; Fungi; Neocallimastigomycota; Neocallimastigomycetes; Neocallimastigales. The record is from RNAcentral.
UAUCUCUGUAGAGUCUGCAUAUCAAUAAGCGGAGGAAAAGAAACUAACAAGGAUUCCCCUAGUAACGGCGAGUGAAGCGGGAAGAGCUCAAAUUUGAAAUCUUCAAGGUUUGACCUUGACGAAUUGUAGUUUAAAGAAGUGUUUUCGGUUAGAGGAGUAGUAAAAGUUCUUUGGAAUAGGACAUCAUAGAGGGUGAGAAUCCCGUAUUUGACUAUUCUUUCUAGCUUUGUGAUACACUUUCAAAGAGUCGGAUUGUUUGGGAAUGCAGUCCAAAAUGGGUGGUGAAUUUCAUCUAAGGCUAAAUAUUGGCGAGAGACCGAUAGCGAACAAGUACCGUGAGGGAAAGAUGAAAAGAACUUUGAAAAGAGAGUUAAACAGUACGUGAAAUUGUCAAAAGGGAAGCGUUUGACACCAGUGUUGUUUUUCCGAAAAUCAAUUAAAAAUUGAUUCAUGCCAGGUUGUAUUGACCUUAUCAGCUUGCAAUUUGGUUUUGGGUCUCUUUUUGAUGCACUUUUCGGUUAACAAGUCAACAUCAAUUUCCUUUGCUGUAAAAAGGUAAGAGGAAGGUGGCUUCAAUUUCGGUUGAAGUGUUUAUAGCCUUUUAUCUCUGCAGUCGGGGAGAUUGAGGUCUGCAGCGUAGAUCCUUCGGGGCUAGAUACAUUUAUGCUAAGUUAUAGCUUUUCAUAGACAACUUGUUGACUAUGUUUAGUCAUGUAGCUUACUCGUAAGUGCUAUUUUACCUACGCUUAGGAUGUUGAGCGCAUGUCUCUCUCU